This 323-nucleotide unclassified non-coding RNA is filed under the name Hevea brasiliensis (rubber tree). The record is from RNAcentral. Lineage: Eukaryota; Viridiplantae; Streptophyta; Magnoliopsida; Malpighiales; Euphorbiaceae.
GAAAAAGGUUGCCCAAAAGUUAUUUGGUGAAAUCUUUUGGAAAGUUUGGAGACUUUGGAAGCUACCCUCAUGGUACUGCUGGUACUAGCAAUGCAAAGGAGGCUUGUUCAAGUGGAGUAAAAAUUUCUAAAAUAGAAUAAGAACAAGAAGAAGAGAAUGUAGCAACUUAUAAGAAGGGAAAGGAAGAAAGUAAGCAAGCUGAGGUUGAAGAAAAAGAGAAAAAUGAUGAGAAGGGAGAUACUACAGAAGGAAAAUCAGAAGAAGAAAAAGAAUCCGAUAAGGAAAAAUCAAAUGAAACUUCCUCAUCUCAUACUAAAAGCAAC